UGCGGCUUCAUUGUUGAUGGCUUGAUGAUAAUUCUAACGAAAGCGAAGGGCAGUGACUACUGCUCUUGUUAUUUCUGACUGUCGUGUCGAAUGCAUACUCUCAUAUUACCUCCAGUGUCAUUGUUAUAAAUAUACACAUACCGUCAUUGUACCAAGAGUCUGAAGGGGGUUCAGAUGACUUUAAUGAUGAAGCUACAUCAAUGCUUUUGGACAGUGAAGACGGCAAUAUAUUUGAUAUUUAAAUCAAUACAAUUUAACAUUGAUUUUCCUAUACAAAAGCAAUAACAAUCCCAAAUCACUGAUGCUUAAAGUGCAGGGGCAACAUGUCCCAGGGAAGGAUAGAAGAGAAUAAUAAAAAUGCAUCUUCUUACUAUUGCACAUUAUCCUGUCAUUAUCAUUAUUCUUUGUUCACAAUGAUUGGCACGUGUACCAUGAUGAACAGUGCGGAGUACUUAGGGUUUUAGUUGACAGUGCUUUAGUUUGAAAGGCUCAACACCACUCAGUCUUUCAGAACCAGGGGUGCUUUGACAGUAGCAGCAACCUCAGCCCCCAUGAGCUCCUCUACAAUGGCCAGGGCAAACUCAAAGCUGGUUCCUGGCCCGCGGCUGGUAAUCAGAUGGCCAUCCUUCUGGACUCGAGCCUCAGAAUACUUGUAGUGGCCUAGGGAGUGGAGAGGAACAGUGGUGAAGAGAGAGAAACACCAUUGUAUAAUACUCUGCAAAUGGGAAUGAUUUAGUACCACUUGUUCAAAUCAAGUUAUUCAUUGGUUUAACUUUCUUGCAUUUACUACGUAAUUUAACUUGUGUAUAUGCAGUCUUUCUUUGAAGUAUUUAUGUUGGUGUUUACUGAUUGAAUCUAAUCAAAUGCUGGUGCAUAAUGACCUCGUAUUGAUGACUAUCAUAAAGUAAGAAACUUGUUACAGCACCCUCUGCUGGACACAAAGGACCACAAUCGUUUGUCACCACUGUUCAGUAGUACUUGGGAUCUGCUCAUUGUGCUGCAUUUCCUGCCACACAGCCUGCUGAGUCAUCAUACAGGAAGAUUUCCUACAUGUGCAUGCAUUUUGUGUAACAUCCAACUAACAAACAAGCACCACAGUGGCUAUGAAGUAGCUAUACAAUGCAGAGAUUAAUCAACCUGAACUAGGGUUGCACAUUUUGGGGAAUAUUCAGAGGUAGAAACAUUGUGGGAAUAUAUGCAAUUUAAAAUUAAUACCAUUUAAAUGUAGAUGUUUUUUUGCAUUGGAUAUAUUUACCAUAUCAUAUGGAGACAUAAGGUAAAAGGUUUGUUUUUAAGUAAACUAUUGCAAAUUAUUAAAACUUUCCAAUAGAAAUUAAAAUAAAAACAAUUUGUUACAAUUUUAACUUUAAUUAAAUGAGUUGACUCUUCACAUGGGAUGAUUUCAUAGAACAAAAGGGAACAUUGAAUAAUCCCCAAUGAUCUAUCGCAUCUCCCAAAAACGUUUUCAACAUGCAUCUGUAAAAUGAUAGUCCAGAAACUAAAGCUUUGGUUGUCUUCCUCUCAGGCUUCCAUGUCUUCUCCCUGGACCUCAAUGUCCACCUCUUGAACAUCAGACUCUGAGGCCUCAUCUUCACUGUCACUUUCCAACCUUGUUGAGGAUGGCUCGUUGUCAGGCUCAAAAAGCCUCAAAUUUGUCCGGAUGGCCACCAAUUUUCCAACCCUUGUAUUGGUCAGCCUGUUGCGUGCUUUGGUGUGUGUGUUUACAAACAAGGACAAGUUGUGCUCUGAGGUGGCUGAUGUUGGUGGGAUUUGGAGGAUGAUGGAGGCAACAGGGGAAAGAGCCUCAGAUCCACAAAGUCCCUUCCACCAGGUGGCUGAUGAGAUACGUUGGCACGACUGCCAUAUUGCAUCUCCAUCCCAAAGCCCUUGCUUGGAAGUGGACUUCGCCAGACUGCCAAGAACUUUGCCCUCAUCCAGGCCAAGGUGGCGAGGCACAGCAGUGAUGACAACAUAGGCCUUGUUGAUCUUUGCACCAGACAGGAUGCUCUUGCCAGCAUACUUGGGGUCCAACAUGUACACUGUGGCGUGUAUGGGCUUCAGGCAGAAGUCUUCAUGCUUCUUGAUGCAUUUCAGAACGGCAGUUUCCUCUGCUUGGAGCAACAGUGAAGUGGGCCGGGCAGUACGGAGUCUGAACAUCAGACAGGAUGGCAUUGUCUCCCUCAAUCCAUGCAAUGGCUACUGUUAUAGGUUUCAGGAGUUUCAGGCUUACCACUCUCUCCCAAAAUACAUCUUCCAGGAGGAUCCUCUUGAUGGGGCUGUCCAUAAUCGGCAAACUGUGAUAUGGCCAUUUCUUGGAGAGACUCCUUCCCCUGCAGUAGUCAAACAUGACGACAUCACCACCCCAACGGGUGUUGCUGGGCAGCUUCAAUGUGGUGCUCUUAUUCUUCUCACUUUGCUUGGUGAGGUAGAUUGUUGCUAUAACUUAAUGACCCUUGACAUACCUAAACGUUUCCUUGGCUCUCUUGUAGAGUGUAUCCAUUGUUUUCAGUGCCAUGUCCUUGAGGAGCAGAUUCAAUGCAUGAGCAGCACAGCCAAUGGGUGUGAUGUGAGGGUAGGCCUUCUCCACUUUAGACCAAGCAGCCUUCAUGUUCGCAGCAUUGUCUGUCACCAGUGCAAAUACCUUCUGUGGUCCAUGGUCAUUGAUGACUGCCUUCAGCUCAUCUGCAAUGUAGAGACCGGUGUGUCUGUUGUCCCUUGUGUCUGUGCUCUUGUAGAAUACUGGUUGAGGGGUGGAGAUGAUGUAGUUAAUUAUUCCUUGCCCAUGAACAUUCGACCACCCAUCAGAGAUGAUUGCAAUACAGUCUGCUUUCUCUGUGAUUUGCUUGACCUUCACUUGAACUCUGUUGAACUCUGCAUCCAGUUAAUGAGUAGAAAAAGCAUGUCUGGUUGGAGGGGUGUAUGCUGGGUGAAGAACAUUCAGAAAUCUCUUCCAAUACACAUUGCCUGUGAGCAUCAGAGGUGAACCAGUUGUAUACACAGCUCGAGCAAGACAUUUAUCAGCAUUUCUCACUACGUUCCACCAUUGAGUAAAAAAAACUUCUGAUUCAAGGAGGACCAUGAGCUGUUGCUAUCGAUGAGGUGUCUGAUUCAUCAUUUUCACCUCGAAUAGAAGUAGAGGGACUUUUGUCAGAGGUUGCUUGUUGUGAGCGCUGAGGGAACUUUAUGCACUUGGCCAGAUGAUUCUGCAUCUUUGUUGCAUUCUUCACAUAUGAUUUGGCACAGUAUUUGCAAAAUGUACACAGAUUUUCCUUCUACAUUGGCUGCAGUGAAAUGUCUCCACACAUCAGAUAGUGCCCGUGGCAUUUUCCUGUAAAGAUCAGGAUUUAAAUUUUUUUUUAAACAAAUACAAUUCCAUGUCCAUAUAAAUAGUUAAGCAGUUAUUUAAACAACUCCUUCGUAAGAAAAAUGUUUUAAAAUGAAACAGGUGAAUUGCAAGCUAUGACCCACAUGGUAGCAGAAACUAACUAGCAGGAAUUGUUAACAAGUUAGAAAGGAUUUAAAACACUUCGCUGUAGUUUACUAUUUACUAGUUAACAAAAAAAUAAUGUAUGUCAUAAAAUAUUUUCACCCCACCCAGUAUUGUAAUCAAAACUUACCAAAAAGUAUGUAGUCCUUGGCUCAGACAGUGUAGUUGUGUGCACUGCACGUGUGACCGAAGAGUGCACUGCACGUGUGACCGAAGAGUGCACUGCACAUGCAGAGGAUUGCAAUUCCAUCGAAUUGGGGAUAGUUUAACCAAAAUAUGCCACAAGACCUAGAAUUGCCUUUUUGGUGGGAGGUUCACUGUUAUAAGCUAACUUUUUUUAAUGAAUUGAAGCAAAAUUCCCCAAAUUCCUAGGCUUAACUUCCCAUGGAAAAUUUCCAGAAAUUUCCCAGAAAGUUUCUGACCCUGUGCAACCCUAACCUAAACCUUAGCCCUGUGGCAGCCAGGCUGUUUGUGUAGCUUUACCACCAGUCAUCAUCUUGUCCUUGGCACCAGGGUGGGUGGUGACUGUGCUGCCGUAGGCAAUACCGUCUCGACGCAUUACGUCCACAGGUAUAACUGUUUCCAUCUCUUCUGCACCUUUAGAGAGGAUUACUAAUGCCUUUUUCCCUGCCAUUCUUGGGAGAGUGGGUGUGUGACUGUCAGCAACAGGAAAGCAACUGUUUGUGAGAGGACUUUUAUCUUGACAGGAACACACAUAGAUACACGUAACCAUGGUUGACAGAGGAAGAACAAUGAUUCCAAGCACCACCCUUCUUUUGAAGCUUCCAGUCUGUUAUUCGAACUCAAAUCAGCAUGACAGAGUGAUCUCCAGCCUUGUCCUCAUCAACACUCACACCUGUGUUUAGGAGAGAAUCAC
This 4364-nucleotide long non-coding RNA is filed under the name Salmo salar (Atlantic salmon). RNAcentral describes it as "lncRNA (ENSSSAG00000101950.1)". Lineage: Eukaryota; Metazoa; Chordata; Actinopteri; Salmoniformes; Salmonidae. The record is from RNAcentral.